UUAUAUCCUAUUUACAUUUGUGUGAGAUAAUUCAGUGUAUCCAUAAAUUAGUGCUGAACAUCGGUUUGUUUUAUGGAAGCGUUGAAUAAUCUCCAGCUCAUGUAUAUUCAUCUCUCAUUCCAGAAGGUAGGAGAGUGAGCCUUGGGAAAUGGCAAGAGAACCAUCCAGCUUCAUCUUAGGUAAAGAUAAGAAGAGUUAAGGGGAUCAUCCACCAUGGGUCACUAAGACUCCUAGGCAACCCCAUACAGGUGCACAUAGAGAAGGUAGCCAAAAAACCUGCCCACAAAAGGCCCCAUUGCUCUGCCUGCCCUGCUUUGAAUAUGCCUGGACAAGAACCAUGGGAUGGAACCCAUCAAAGGGGAAAUAAAACAGGCCUGGAUAAAAUAGGGUCAUUUUUUUUGUUUUCAAGUUUCCUGUGUUUAAAAGAGCAAAGAUUCAUGUGGCAGAGCCUGAAGACAAACUGCUUCAAAGAGCAAUUUUAAUUGAAAUGAUAAUGAUGAAAGUUUUGCAGCCAAAACUGAAAUAGGCAUUAUAAGCAUUCCCUCCUCCUACGAAGCAUGCCCACCAACAGCCAUAACAAAAAGAGUCGUCUUUCGUAGGAGCCCUUCCAUCACAGCCUAUGAGGGCUGCUUGUUUCCUGAGCCCGUGGAUCAUCCUUUUCACUAUGAAAAAAGCAAUAAGUGAGUGUAAUACUCAGCUGCUCCCUGGAUUUCUUAUGUUCUUCCUCUCCCCUUCUCUGGGCGCUGCUGCUGCACGUGCGGCUGCUCCCGCUCAGCGAGGUGCCGGCCUCGCACUAAUUCAUGCUGAUGUAUUUUAGCACAGCUCUGCAAUCCAUCACCAUCGCAGUGCUCGGGGUUGGGGCUGUGCCAUACAUCAUCAACACAACAGCCUCCCGUGGUGUACAGCGUGGCGUGCUGCCAGCCCAAUGGUGCACGGGGAGUCCCAGGCUGUAAGGGAUCCAAAGGGGUGACUUGCAGGGAGCUGAGCACUGCCUGGGGAGCAGGAGGUGAUGCACAGCACUGAGGUGCAGGAUUGAAGCCACACAGGUCCUGCAGCUGCAUCUGAACAGCAGGGAGCCUUCCCUAAGCAAUGGCUUUUAAAAGAUAACCCCAAAACCUCCCGGUUCCAGAAUGCUGUUUUCAUGGUACAUCCCCUUGCAACCUGUGAUUAUGCCCAGAGUGAUGGCCAGAUGAGAACGCACGUCACUCUUAUUAAUCAGUGCCGGGCAUUUGCUGCUGUCCUGCAAAGCUGGGAGAGAACAAAGCAGUGUUCAGCAGGUGGCCUUUGUGGGAACAAGUGUCUUUGAAAAGCACAGCGGAACAGAAAUGAGCACAGCUCUGAGUGCAGUGGAGCUGCUGUGCCAGCAGACAGGGAGCCUUAGCGCUUCCCAUUUGGGCUUCCCAUAGGAGUGCUCAGCCUGGGAGUGCUGAUGGAGAAGGAAAUGUUGGGGAGCAUCGACUUCUGAUCGCUCCUGUGCCAAGGCAGCCACAGGAGUGAGGGAAAGAGGCUGCCAUGACAAAGUGAUUAGAAGUAAUGAAUAAUAAGGUAUAAUUAGUCAGAAUAACCCCCAGCUCCUCAUCCCCCCAGUGCAGAGGGGUCCACACCAGUGCCCCUGCCCUGACCCUGCUCCUGCUGCCCUGGGCUGCCCCAUAGAGCUGGAGAGGGCUGCAGGCACACCAGGACCUUGCUGAGGAUCAGAGGUAGCCUCACUAAUUAUUUCUUCCAAUUACAUUUUAAUUAUGUAGAAUUAGCUAUAAUGCUUUAUCCUGCCAUGUGCUGUUUGUGGGCAAUACGUCAUGGCAGGGAUUUCUCCUCAGAAGAGAGAGCAGUUUGGGGAAAAAAAAAUAGCUGAAAGGAGUAGCCCUGUGAAAUCCACAGCUCCCAUGGAGUUGGCACAGCCACCCCCACACACCAGCCCCUGUAAGCCACCCCCAAUACGCUGCCCAUCUGCAGCACGGGGCACCAGGAGGAGCAGCUCUCAGUGCUGACUCUGACUUGCUGGUGUCAUAAAUCUUGUUAAUUUACUCAUAAAGCUGUCUUGCUCAUUUCCUGCAGGCUCGUCCUCGUGCUCUCGGUGAGUGGUGGUAACUUUUUCUAUUUUUGGUGAAUAAUUCUUCCAGAAUGACCUCAGACAGAUUUGAACGAACGGCAAUCAGGAGUGUGUGAACAGGAAUGGCUCCUGCCCAUCAAAAUAAAGCACCAAUUUAUG
Non-coding RNA from Coturnix japonica (Japanese quail), 2209 nucleotides. The record is from RefSeq and is a predicted model, not a curated record. Lineage: Eukaryota; Metazoa; Chordata; Aves; Galliformes; Phasianidae.